RNAcentral lists this ribosomal RNA (253 nucleotides) under uncultured bacterium. RNAcentral's name for it is "partial 16S ribosomal RNA". It matches the Rfam family "Bacterial small subunit ribosomal RNA", at positions 524 to 776 of the family's 1533-position model. The record is from RNAcentral.
GACGUAGGGGGCGAGCGUUGUCCGGAUUUAUUGGGCGUAAAGCGCGCGCAGGCGGUCGGCAAAGUCGGAUGUGAAAACCAGGGGCUCAACCCUUGGCCUGCAUCCGAUACUUGUCGACUAGAGGCAGGUAGGGGAGAUCGGAAUUCCUGGUGUAGCGGUGAAAUGCGCAGAUAUCAGGAGGAACACCGGUGGCGAAGGCGGAUCUCUGGGCCUGUCCUGACGCUCAGGCGCGAAAGCUAGGGGAGCAAACAGG